AAUAUUGGACAAUGGGGGGAACCCUGAUCCAGCCAUUCCACGUGUGUGAAGAAGGUCUUAGGAUUGUAAAGCACUUUCAGUUGGGAGGAAGAGUUGUAGGCUAAUACCUUGCAAUUUUGACGUUACCAACAGAAUAAGCACCGGCUAACUUCGUGCCAGCAGCCGCGGUAAUUCAGAGGGUGCAAGCGUUAAUCGGAAUUACUGGGCGUAAAGCGCGCGUAGGUGGUUCAGUAAGAUGGAAGUGAAGUCCCCGGGCUUAACCUGGGAACUGCUUUCAUAACUGCUGAGCUAGAGUACGGUAGAGGGUAGUGGAAUUUCCUGUGUAGCGGUGAAAUGCGUAGAUAUAGGAAGGAACACCAGUGGCGAAGGCGACUACCUGGACUGAUACUGACACUGAGGUGCGAAAGCGUGGGGAGCAAACAGG
This 424-nucleotide ribosomal RNA is filed under the name uncultured bacterium. RNAcentral's name for it is "partial 16S ribosomal RNA". It matches the Rfam family "Bacterial small subunit ribosomal RNA", at positions 360 to 776 of the family's 1533-position model. The record is from RNAcentral.